AUUAUGAGUUUAUUAAAACUCCAAACCCUAUGUGAACCUUACCGUCGUUGCCUCGGCGUGAGCUACGGCUACCCUGUAGUUACCCUGGAGCUACCCUAUAGCUACCCUGUAGUUACCCUGCAGCUACCCUAUAGGUACCCUGGAGCUACCCUGUAGACGGCUUAUGGCCCGCCGAAGGACCGCUAAACUCUUGUUUUUAUUACUGUUAUUCUGAAUUAUAAACUAAAAUAAGUUAAAACUUUCAACAACGGAUCUCUUGGUUCUGGCAUCGAUGAAGAACGCAGCGAAAUGCGAUAAGUAAUGUGAAUUGCAGAAUUCAGUGAAUCAUCGAAUCUUUGAACGCACAUUGCGCCCAUUAGUAUUCUAGUGGGCAUGCCUAUUCGAGCGUCAUUUCGACCCCUAAGCCCCUGUUGCUUAGUGUUGGGAAUCUACGGCGUAGUUCCUUAAAGUUAGUGGCGGAGUUAGGGUUCACUCUCAGCGUAGUAAUAUCUCUCGCUCGUGUGGUGGCCCUGGCUGCUAGCCGUUAAAACCCCUAUAUUUUUUAGUGGUUGACCUCGAAUUAGGUAAGAAUACCCGCUGAACUUAAGCAUAUCAAUAAGCGGAGGAAAAGAAACCAACAGGGAUUGCCCUAGUAACGGCGAGUGAAGCGGCAAUAGCUCAAAUUUGAAAUCUGGCCCUCGCGGUCCGAGUUGUAAUUUGUAGAGGAUGCUUUUGGUGCGGUGCCUUCCGAGUUCCCUGGAACGGGACGCCAGAGAGGGUGAGAGCCCCGUACGGUUGGACGCCUAACCUAUAUAUAGCUCCUUCGACGAGUCGAGUAGUUUGGGAAUGCUGCUCUAAAUGGGAGGUAAAUUUCUUCUAAAGCUAAAUACCGGCCAGAGACCGAUAGCGCACAAGUAGAGUGAUCGAAAGAUGAAAAGCACUUUGAAAAGAGGGUUAAAUAGCACGUGAAAUUGUUGAAAGGGAAGCGUUUGCGACCAGACC
This 981-nucleotide ribosomal RNA is filed under the name Xylariales sp. BM_F_1. RNAcentral's name for it is "eukaryotic LSU rRNA". The stretch from base 550 to 981 matches the Rfam family "Eukaryotic large subunit ribosomal RNA", at positions 1 to 435 of the family's 3401-position model. The record is from RNAcentral. Lineage: Eukaryota; Fungi; Ascomycota; Sordariomycetes; Xylariales.